RNAcentral lists this ribosomal RNA (163 nucleotides) under Globba winitii. RNAcentral describes it as "5.8S ribosomal RNA". It matches the Rfam family "5.8S ribosomal RNA". From Rfam's summary of the family: 5.8S ribosomal RNA (5.8S rRNA) is a component of the large subunit of the eukaryotic ribosome. It is transcribed by RNA polymerase I as part of the 45S precursor that also contains 18S and 28S rRNA. Lineage: Eukaryota; Viridiplantae; Streptophyta; Magnoliopsida; Zingiberales; Zingiberaceae. The record is from RNAcentral.
CAAAUGACUCUCGGCAAUGGAUAUCUCGGCUCUUGCAUCGAUGAAGAACGUAGUGAAAUGCGAUACUUGGUGUGAAUUGCAGAAUCUCGUGAACCAUUGAGUCUUUGAACGCAAGUUGUGCCCGAGGCUUUGUGGCCGAGGGCACGCCUGCUUGGGCGUCAUG